This 411-nucleotide long non-coding RNA is filed under the name Drosophila melanogaster (fruit fly). Its description in RNAcentral is "long non-coding RNA:CR44318 (Dmel_CR44318)". The record is from RNAcentral. Lineage: Eukaryota; Metazoa; Arthropoda; Insecta; Diptera; Drosophilidae.
CAAACGUUUAUUUCUAUUGAUACCAUUGGCUGGUAAAAAAGUCUGAUAACAAGUUUGGUUCGCGUUAGAACCCAUAAUUCGUCAGGCAGAAAACUUGUUAAAAUGGUGAAUCUUGACUUAGAAAUGAUUUUGGAGACUCUCCUGAACGCGGCGAGGAGGAAAAGGGAAAGGGAACACCUUGAAGGUUCUUCGGAAGGAGUUAUCUACUGGAUGUAUGAGAAAAUUGCGGAUUUGACCUUGAGGGUCCUGGCAGAAUUGGUUGACUUUGUGAAGGCAGCUAUUAUAAAAAUAGUUGGUGUCGCUACAAAUGCUGUGGAGUGUUUCAAGCGUGAUUUUACAGUGCAAUGUGCCGCAUUGGAAGCCUUUGUGGUAUUUUUAACCAGUAAUUUGGGAUUUCAACUGGAAAUGUAA